Molecule: ribosomal RNA, 253 nt
Filed under: uncultured bacterium
Lineage: Bacteria
Description: partial 16S ribosomal RNA
Rfam family: Bacterial small subunit ribosomal RNA
Source: RNAcentral
UACGGAGGGUGCAAACGUUGCUCGGAAUCAUUGGGCGUAAAGCGCACGUAGGCGGACCGCUAAGUCGGAUGUGAAAGCCCUCGGCUUAACCGAGGAAGUGCAUUCGGAACUGACAGUCUUGAGUAUGGAAGAGGGUCGCGGAAUUCCCGGUGUAGAGGUGAAAUGCGCAGAUAUCAGGAAGAACACCCGUGGCGAAGGCGGCUCUCUGGGACGGUACUGACGCUGAGACGCGAAAGCGUGGGGAGCGAACAGG